AUCUCACAUGCAGUUUGAGAUUUUAUAAUAAAUUGUAGAGUUCAUUAUAUCCAGAUCUCCCAAGUGUUCUUGUUUUGGAGGAACAGUCCCUAUAUUGGGCCUAAAUCCCACUGUCGCUCUUUUCUAUCCUAAUGUCCUUCUUUUCUAGGAGCUCCAUGUUGUUGGUGUGUCUGAGUGUAUAACAGAGCUCCACAGAAAUAAUACUCCUAUUAAUGUGUCUUUAAUAUGGCCACUAAAGUCACUUCAUCUCAAUGAAGUGGUCUAGGUGUAGUGGUCCUGGUUUUUAGAAACUGCUUUGCAUAAACUGCCUGAUUAAAUACACCAUUGAUGACAAUCUUUCUGACAGCCACUAGGGGCGCUUCCUCCUCCAGGACUGGUUGAUCCUGGAAUCAAAC
Molecule: non-coding RNA, 395 nt
Organism: Pelobates cultripes (western spadefoot toad)
Lineage: Eukaryota; Metazoa; Chordata; Amphibia; Anura; Pelobatidae
Source: the annotation of a GenBank genome assembly